CAUUACACAAUUUAAAAUAUGAAGGCUUCGGCUGGAUUAUUUUUUAUCACCCUUGUCUUUUGCGCACUUGUUGUUUCCUGGGCGGGUUCGCCCGCCACCAGGACCACACCAUAAACCUUUUUUAUGCAGUUGCAAUCAGCGUCAGUAUAACAAAUGUAAAUCAUUUACAACUUUCAACAACGGAUCUCUUGGUUCUGGCAUCGAUGAAGAACGCAGCGAAAUGCGAUACGUAGUGUGAAUUGCAGAAUUCAGUGAAUCAUCGAAUCUUUGAACGCACAUUGCGCCCUUUGGUAUUCCAAAGGGCAUGCCUGUUCGAGCGUCAUUUGUACCCUCAAGCUUUGCUUGGUGUUGGGCGUCUUUUGUCUUUGGCUUCGCCCAAAGACUCGCCUUAAAACGAUUGGCAGCCGGCCUACUGGUUUCGCAGCGCAGCACAUUUUUGCGCUUGCAAUCAGCAAAAGAGGACGGCACUCCAUCAAGACUACAUUUUUACGUUUGACCUCGGAUCAGGUAGGGAUACCCGCUGAACUUAAGCAUAUCAAUAA
This 542-nucleotide unclassified non-coding RNA is filed under the name Curvularia pseudolunata. Its description in RNAcentral is "sequence contains ITS1, 5.8S rRNA gene and ITS2". The stretch from base 169 to 322 matches the Rfam family "5.8S ribosomal RNA". Lineage: Eukaryota; Fungi; Ascomycota; Dothideomycetes; Pleosporales; Pleosporaceae. The record is from RNAcentral.